AGCACUGACCCUGGGUCCUCACAGAAAGUACUCACGAGGAUUCUGAAAGGUCACUUGCUCUGGGGGCCAGCUGCCAUAUCAUAAAGACAUUCAAGCAACUCUUUGGGGAGAUCCACGUGAGGAGGAACUGAAUGCUCUUGCCAACAGUUAGCGUCAACCUGUCAGCCAUGGGAGUGAAUCGUCUUGGGAGUGGAUCCUGUGGCCCAGGAUGGCUAUGAAUGUGGCCCAACACAAAAGCAGAAAUUUACUUAAAACCUUUUUUUUUGUUCAUCAGUUUUCAUUAGUGUUUGUGUAUUUAAUGUGUGGCCCAAGACAAUUCUUCUUCUUCCAGUGUGGCCCACAGAUGCCACAGGCUGGACACCCCUACAACCCAAUCAAACCUUCAGAUACGGCAGCCUUGGCCCACAUCUUGACUGCAACCUCGUAAGAGAUCCUGAGCCAUAACCACUGGCUAAGCCGUUCUUAAACUUCCUGACCCACAGAAAACUGCGAGAGAAUACAUACUUACGUUGUUUUAAGCUGAUAUGUUUUGGAGUAAUUUGUUAUAUAAGAAUAGAUAACUAAAACAUUUAUAAACCA
Molecule: long non-coding RNA, 579 nt
Organism: Phyllostomus hastatus (greater spear-nosed bat)
Lineage: Eukaryota; Metazoa; Chordata; Mammalia; Chiroptera; Phyllostomidae
Exons: 2
Source: RefSeq, a predicted model, not a curated record